This 460-nucleotide ribosomal RNA is filed under the name uncultured bacterium. RNAcentral's name for it is "partial 16S ribosomal RNA". It matches the Rfam family "Bacterial small subunit ribosomal RNA", at positions 338 to 795 of the family's 1533-position model. The record is from RNAcentral.
CCUACGGGUGGCAGCAGUGAGGAAUAUUGGUCAAUGGGCGGAAGCCUGAACCAGCCAAGUAGCGUGCAGGAUGACGGCCCUACGGGUUGUAAACUGCUUUUAUACGGGAAUAACGCGCCUUACGUGUAGGGCUUUGCAUGUACCGUAUGAAUAAGGACCGGCUAAUUCCGUGCCAGCAGCCGCGGUAAUACGGAAGGGCCGGGCGUUCUCCGGAUUUAUUGGGUUGAAAGGGAGCGUAGGCCGCAUGUCAAGCGUGCUUGGCAAUGUCCGGGCUCAACCCGGGCCUUGCAGCGCGAACUGGCGUGCUUGAGUCCGCUGACAGCAGGCGGAAUUCGUCGUGUCGCGGUGAAAUGCUUAGCUAUGACGAAGAACCCCGAUUGCUAAGUCAGCUUGCUGCAGCGUAACUGACGCUGAUGCUCGACAGCGCGUGUAUCGAACAGGAUUAGCUACCCGGGUAGUC